GGGCAGACUAGGCAAGAGGAAGGAUCUCUACCUUGCAGGUCCUGAGGGAAGACAGGUGCUAAAGGAGAACCUGAACCUGCUCCCUGGUUUGGCUUCAGUGAACUGUACCAACCCCGUACUGGUUCCCCUGCUAGGCUGGAUUGCAGUGCUAACAGCAGUGUUGCUUCCCGUCACGCGUGAGAGUCUGGCAAGGCACGUACACAGCAGCACAGCGUUCCCCUGACUCCACACUUGGAGGAGAGUUAUCUGCAGAGGUGACAUGUGGAGGGGGCAUGUGGGGUCACCUGCCUGCACACCCUCCCCCACAGAGUUGCUACUUGGCUUGUACUCAGCAUGCUCACGUGGACUGAGCAUGCUCCAUAACACCGCUGAAGCCAGCUGCCCUCAUUCUGCCUCCCCACCCCCACUAUAGGGAUGCACAGAUCAUGUAAGCCAGGGAGAGACUCCAACUCACAAGCUCCAUUUGCAAAAAUAGGUUCUCAGGCCUGCUAGAUUUGAUAGCCAUUAGCAGUGUGGAAAGCUGUAACUUCUAGGUUUUUUCCCCUGCUCUUUUUGGACUUGUGAUGGGGAAUACAAACCUCACACUGGGUGGUGAGACAGGCACUAAUAUGGGCGUGGCAGUUGGGGAAUAGGGCAGAGGCUGGGGUUGGGCAAGGAGGGCAGGGACUUGGGAAGCAAGAGCAGAGGAUCAAACACUUUCUGAAUGUGGGUCAGGAUUCUCCCCACUUCAGAUAGGGGGAAAGUGAGGUGCCACGUGGGAGCGGGACCUGGCUGAUUUGGCUGAGCGUCUGAAUAAUCACUAUGGCAAAAAUAUAAAAGGUCUUAAGUGUCAAAAGAACAUUCACCAGGGAAUUGGAGAGUUCAAGGCUGGCCAGAAAAGGUGUAGUAUAUGGCACAAACCAGUAUGCACUCUGCCACCUCACUGGUUUUGGAGACGGGUAUGUCUCUUGCACUGGGGUUAGAGGAUCUUUCUCUCAGACACACAACUGUCAAUAGGUGGGAACAAAAUCCUAUUUGUAAUUUUGCUCACUGGCCCUGUCACAAACACCACCCUCCAACCACUGUGAGCUGGAACCAGGAACACCAUUCCACUGCUGCACAAGCAUCAUCUAAAGUCGCUUUCCAAGGAAUUAAGGAGAAGCCAGGAUAAAAAAGGAUUGAAAAUUCACAUUAUCACUACUAGGUGGGGUAAUAAUUCGCUAACCAAAAUAUGCAUCUGCAGCAUAGUUCAACGUACUGAAUCGUUUCAGAGACAGCGCUUAGUGACUGAUGUUUAAUAUACCUCUGUUCCAGAGUUCUUUUAUUAAUUAUGUGUUAUUUUUGGUUUAUGGUUUUAAAUGCAUUUGGUCAAAGGAAAAAAAACCUCAACAACCUAAAUUCCACAGACAAACAAAGAUGCAACAAUAGCCCACAGAGUCAUUGGAUACUGAUUCCUGCCAAGUGACACGUAUAACCUUUUGUAACCCUGAUUUAUGUCUAUAACUGGGCCAACAAGUAAAUAUCAGUCUUGUACCAACUUUCCUAUGAGUCAGACCUCUAUUAAAGUCAAGAGUAUGCUAUGUAAGCCAAAAUUCUCCUAUCUGCAGCUCCUCCAACAGACCCAGCCUCUCUAUGUACACAUUAAUUAGUAUAGAAACAACUGAGUCAAUUGACUGCUAUCCCUUGUAUUCUGUGUGGCUACUUAUGUUACUCAACUGUGCUCCCAUUACAGUGUCCAAUUAAAAUCACUGAAAACCUAAUCUCUUCCCCUCCUUUCAGCUAGGUACAACAUUCUCAAUGGAACUCAAACCUCAGGCCAGGCUGGGAUUUCAGCAUAAAGGUGCAAUAUGUGAGACUCAUUGGUAUUGCAUGAUUUUGACUCCAAUCAGGCAAAAGUCAGUAGUUUUUACUGAGUUUCACUUUGAAUUUUGUUUUGAAUUUGAAAUUCAAGGUGUUUGAAGCUGUGUGAAACAAAAGCCUGCACACUCUUGCAAAGUGAAACCAUCACAUGGGUAAAUCCAGGGUUUUUAUGGUCUAGUAUAACAGGACAACAGUUUUAAAAUGGAUCUAUGAAGAGCUGAUAUAAUAAGAGUUCCACCCAUUUAAAAAAAAUCAAUCUUGUAUCAGAAUUCCUAUUUCUUGGUAGCUUUUACAUGAUAUUGGUCAUGUUCACAAAAGCCUUUACCUGUUACGUAGCAGAAGUUAGUAUUAACUAACUAGUGGCUAGUGUUACAUCUUCCUUUUUUUUAUUUGAAAAUCAAAUGCAAAUAAAAUAAGAUCAGCCAAAAAUAACCACCACAAACUCAUGCAGAACAUUGGAUACCUGUAAGCAACUAUCAUCUUAAAAUAUCAGUAGCGUUCUGAUCAUAGAAGCACUUAACAUUCCCAAAGCAGUCCCUUCUGUUGUGUCGUGUUCAACUGCUGAGGUGGAUCCACUGCCUGGAGCCUGUGUUUAUUGCUCCUCUUAAUUGUUAGUGACUAGGUGGGCUUGGGUUACUUCUGUCAAGACCUGAACACAAUAGGAGCAUCCUAGAUGUUCUCAAGAAACAGAUAAUUAGUGUCCUGCUUGGUUUUGUUUAGAUGUCUUCAACAAGUCAUUAACAGUUACCUUCACCACAUCCAAAUCUUCAGGGAUUAAGAAUCUGGGGCUUUGGUAUGGUUCAGGUGUUGAGGCAAUCCUGAAGGGAAGUUACUUAAACCUGUAUCUACCAAAAGAAGAAGACAAAGUUUCAUUCACAAAGUGUGAUGCUGACUGCAGGUUAAGUUGAACAAGUGGAACUUUAUUAAACACUGUGGACUGCUCUGUCCACAUGCCUAGUUCCCCACGUUCACCUGGUGUCCCUUCAAUAACAGUCCCUCCCGGGAACAUGGGGCCCUCUGACUCUAGUUUCACUGAUCAUGAUACAGUGAAGAUAAAGAAUUUUGUACUUUCUGUAGAGUUGGGCCUACUAAAACUGAACUCGCUCUUGCAUUUGGAAGUCUAGUUAAGAUCUCAAUUGUUCUCAUUGGUGUGACCCUAAGUGCCAACAGGCAAAGGGUUCACCAUUCUGUAAAAGCAACUCUUAUCAGGACUGAUACAUUUACCACACCCAAUACAUUUCUGUCAUAGUAUAUCAGUAAAGAAGGGUAGGAGACAUUAAAUGAAAGCUUAUAUCAUACGGGUCAUCAUAAGAACUGUGAGACGUAUACAUGGCUAUCAUUCAAAAAUGUAUGUAUUAGAAAUAUUUGAACCAUGUAUUCAGGUAGGGUUGACAGAUAAAUCAAUAUUCCUUUGUCUGGGAAAGAUUUGUUUGUCUGCCUAGAUGGCUGAUGUAAAUAUAGCAGGACAAAACAAAUACAAUUGGAAGUCAUUUGCAUCUGAGGUAAACAGGAAGAACAA
This is a long non-coding RNA of Dermochelys coriacea (leatherback sea turtle), 3358 nucleotides long. RefSeq lists it as uncharacterized. Lineage: Eukaryota; Metazoa; Chordata; Testudines; Dermochelyidae. The transcript is spliced from 3 exons. The record is from RefSeq and is a predicted model, not a curated record.